AGAGUUUGAUCAUGGCUCAGAUUGAACGCUGGCGGCAUGCCUUACACAUGCAAGUCGAACGGUAACAGGUCUUCGGAUGCUGACGAGUGGCGAACGGGUGAGUAAUACAUCGGAACGUGCCCGAUCGUGGGGGAUAACGCAGCGAAAGCUGUGCUAAUACCGCAUACGAUCUACGGAUGAAAGCGGGGGAUCGCAAGACCUCGCGCGGACGGAGCGGCCGAUGGCAGAUUAGGUAGUUGGUGGGAUAAAAGCUUACCAAGCCGACGAUCUGUAGCUGGUCUGAGAGGACGACCAGCCACACUGGGACUGAGACACGGCCCAGACUCCUACGGGAGGCAGCAGUGGGGAAUUUUGGACAAUGGGGGAAACCCUGAUCCAGCCAUGCCGCGUGCAGGAUGAAGGCCUUCGGGUUGUAAACUGCUUUUGUACGGAACGAAAAGGUCUUUUCUAAUAAAGAAGGCUCAUGACGGUACCGUAAGAAUAAGCACCGGCUAACUACGUGCCAGCAGCCGCGGUAAUACGUAGGGUGCAAGCGUUAAUCGGAAUUACUGGGCGUAAAGCGUGCGCAGGCGGUUAUAUAAGACAGAUGUGAAAUCCCCGGGCUCAACCUGGGAACUGCAUUUGUGACUGUAUAGCUAGAGUACGGCAGAGGGGGAUGGA
RNAcentral lists this ribosomal RNA (660 nucleotides) under uncultured beta proteobacterium. RNAcentral's name for it is "bacterial SSU rRNA". It matches the Rfam family "Bacterial small subunit ribosomal RNA", at positions 8 to 665 of the family's 1533-position model. Lineage: Bacteria; Pseudomonadati; Pseudomonadota; Betaproteobacteria. The record is from RNAcentral.